CUGAGCCUUUGCACUGACCCGGCUGCUCAGCUUCUCCAAUGGAGCAGCCUUAGUUAGAGCUGGGUUGGAGGGAGUGCAGACUGAACCUGUCUUCAGCCACCCGUUCAUGUCAAAAUCCCUACAUUUCCUGAAGGCUUUAAAUUCCUUUUUCCUGGGCAUCCUCGAACCAGCUUAGUGUGGAGUGACCCAGCCAUAAUUUACAUUUAAGCCUAAUUUGAAUUCAUAAGCAAGGCAUUCCUCAGUCUGUUUCACCUGAGGGGCUCUAUCCAGCUGGCAUCCUUCGAGCAUGACUAAUGGUGCAGGCUGUGCAUGAAGCACAGCAGCAGCAGCAGGUGAUCUGCUGCUGCUGCCCACAUGAAAAAAUGUUUCCCAGGGGCUGAGAUCAAAGGUAUUGCAACAGGAUCACAGAUGGUGCAAAAAUGGUUUCUGGAAUGCAAAUAAAAAGGGGCAGGAA
Molecule: long non-coding RNA, 454 nt
Organism: Cyanistes caeruleus (blue tit)
Lineage: Eukaryota; Metazoa; Chordata; Aves; Passeriformes; Paridae
Source: RefSeq, a predicted model, not a curated record